RNAcentral lists this ribosomal RNA (207 nucleotides) under uncultured bacterium. RNAcentral describes it as "partial 16S ribosomal RNA". It matches the Rfam family "Bacterial small subunit ribosomal RNA", at positions 568 to 774 of the family's 1533-position model. The record is from RNAcentral.
CGUGUAGGCGGCUUAAUAAGUCAGAUGUUAAAGCCCCCGGCUCAACCGGGGAUAGUCAUUUGAAACUGUUAGGCUUGAGUGCGAGAGAGGGUAGUGGAAUUCCCAGUGUAGCGGUGAAAUGCGUAGAUAUUGGGAAGAACACCAGUAGCGAAGGCGGCUACCUGGCUCGCAACUGACGCUAAGGCGCGAAAGCGUGGGGAGCAAACA